RNAcentral lists this long non-coding RNA (771 nucleotides) under Panax ginseng (ginseng). Its description in RNAcentral is "long non-coding RNA (PGIN_LNC009727)". Lineage: Eukaryota; Viridiplantae; Streptophyta; Magnoliopsida; Apiales; Araliaceae. The record is from RNAcentral.
CUUCCUCCUCGCAGAUCUCGCAGUAAAUAAUGCCUUGACAAUCGAAAGGAGACUUUUUCAAGGGAAUGGGGUGAGGAUCCCAUCUAUGUCUGACCUCACUUGGAUAUUGUGCGCAAUUUAUAUGAAUUCUAAAACUGUUGCAGGUUUCACACAUGAAUUCCAUUUGCGAAAAGAUACCCUCGUCACAUGCGUUGCACCGAAAGUACUCGGAUGGUGCAUAUUGUUGAACUAGGGGGUGCUUGUGGAAGGCAUGUUUGAUCUUGGUAGGUAGAAAAGCACAACCAGUAUCAACCGUGAUAUCACAAGUCUCGCACAGAUAACAGAAUCCAUUGGUCAACAAGUGACAAGUGUCACAUACGACAUGGUUAAACAAAUUAUCAACUCUAUGCUUUGAGAGCGAAUGUUCCGGGUGGCGUGGGCAUUCUCCUACAGGCAACUCUGGUGGCAGCUCGGCACAAACUCUGUGAAGAAAGAUACUGCAUCCAAUACAGCCAUAAAAUGGAUGGGCAGUCGAGACGGGUUUUACACACCCAUCGCAAAGAAUUUCAUCAUCAUUAUUCUUAAAACUACUUUGAUCAAAUUCUUCCAGAAGGAGUAAUGCAUGCUCCCUAUGGCUCUCGUGGUAGAUUAAGUGAUCAGGCGUUGUUUCUAUGAUCAUUUUUUCAGUACCUUCUUCUUCGCCUAGAUUAAUAAUAUUGGUCUUGCCAAUAUGGUCUGUUAUUAGAUCCAAUAACGAUUCCUUAUUAUCCACCGGAAAGUGUAUCAAAUUAG